This 486-nucleotide ribosomal RNA is filed under the name uncultured bacterium. Its description in RNAcentral is "partial 16S ribosomal RNA". It matches the Rfam family "Bacterial small subunit ribosomal RNA", at positions 30 to 507 of the family's 1533-position model. The record is from RNAcentral.
AUUGAACGCUGGCGGCAUGCCUUACACAUGCAAGUCGAACGGCAGCACGGGUGCUUGCACCUGGUGGCGAGUGGCGAACGGGUGAGUAAUACAUCGGAACAUGUCCUGUAGUGGGGGAUAGCCCGGCGAAAGCCGGAUUAAUACCGCAUACGAUCUACGGAUGAAAGCGGGGGACCUUCGGGCCUCGCGCUAUAGGGUUGGCCGAUAGCUGAUUAGCUAGUUGGUGGGGUAAAGGCCUACCAAGGCGACGAUCAGUAGCUGGUCUGAGAGGACGACCAGCCACACUGGGACUGAGACACGGCCCAGACUCCUACGGGAGGCAGCAGUGGGGAAUUUUGGACAAUGGGCGAAAGCCUGAUCCAGCAAUGCCGCGUGUGUGAAGAAGGCCUUCGGGUUGUAAAGCACUUUUGUCCGGAAAGAAAUCCUUGGCUCUAAUACAGGCGGGGGAUGACGGUACCGGAAGAAUAAGCACCGGCUAACUACGUG